RNAcentral lists this long non-coding RNA (1154 nucleotides) under Ananas comosus (pineapple). Its description in RNAcentral is "long non-coding RNA (ACOM_LNC001319)". The record is from RNAcentral. Lineage: Eukaryota; Viridiplantae; Streptophyta; Magnoliopsida; Poales; Bromeliaceae.
UAUAAAUAUUUUUUACAACAAAUAUAUAAAUUAUACAAUAGAAAAAUUAUUUCGGAAUCUGAGCCGAAUAAACACAUCAUCUGAACAGCCACAAUUAUAGCGCACAAAAUUGUGAUUGUUGAAUGGUUUUUGGAUUCAAAUCGUAGUUACAGAGACUCCGAGGUGCGGAUAAAUGUGACCAAACUAAAUGCACUUCUAAAUAGCUUAAUAUCUAGCCCAAUCAUUAGUAGGAUUAAUUAACUAUAAUUUUUAAACUUCUAUUAUAAUUUCACUAUAAUUGUCCCAAUCACUAGUAGCUAGGACUACCUAUUUAAUCCCUACAAUAAUAUUUUUCAAUUUUAUUAUUAUUUUUUUAAUUCACUCAACAUAAGGAAGAUAACUUGUUCUAGUAUCUAUUCCUGCCGAUGCAAUCCUAUAAUUCCCUAAAUUAUCGCAAAUUGUUAAAUCAUAAAUUCCUGUGUGCUGAAAAAUUAUCUUUCUCUGUCGCUUAUAAAAAGAGAAUAUAUUUGCUUUUAUAAAACCAAGCCCUUUCAUAUCCCACAAAUAUUAUUUUACAUAAUCUUUUCUAAAUGGAUCAUAAUCUCAUAUAUUGAUUCUUUGAAUAAAAGCAAAAUAUUUCACCAAUUAAAUUUUGAUCUAUCCAUUUAUGGGGCCAAUAACUUUUCUUCUGGUCAAAGUAGAAUCUUAGGUUAGUCAAAAUCCAACGGUCAUGUAAUUAAUCCCUCAAUUUCUUACUUUUUUUUAAUUUUAGUACCCGUACUUUAAAGUGUAUUAAUUUAAUAUCCUAUAAUUUUAUUUUUCUUCUUUUAUUGUUUCCUCCACUAAUUUUUUUUCUUUAAAUCAGUGACAAAGUUAAAACUAAAAGGGACUAAAGUGAAUAUUCGAUAAACCUAGGUGAGAUAUCUGAAGUUUUAUGUAUAUAAUAAUUAACGAAAUAUUAACGGAGGAGCUGACAAAAAGAGAAAAAGUGAAAUCAUAGGGUACUAAAUUGAUACAUUUUAAACCACAGGGUACUAAAGUGAGAAAAUGCGAAACUAUAUGAGUGGUAUUUGAAGUUUACCCUUUAAUUUAUCAUCUACUAAAUAUAAUAUAUAUAAUAUAAUAUAAUGUAUAUAAUAAUAAUAUACAUUUUUUGAAUAUUAAUUACACAUAUU